AGUCAACAUGCCCAGGGGACGUGGAUAACCUCGGGAAACUGAGGAUAAACCGCGAUAGGUCACUACUUCUGGAAUGGGUAAUGACCCAAACCUAUAUGGCCCCUGGAUUGGACUGCGGCCGAUCAGGCUGUUGGUGAGGUAAUGGCCCACCAAACCUGUAACCGGUACGGGCUCUGAGAGGAGGAGCCCGGAGAUGGGCACUGAGACAAGGGCCCAGGCCCUAUGGGGCGCAGCAGGCGCGAAACCUCUGCAAUAGGCGAAAGCUUGACAGGGUUACUCUGAGUGAUUUCCGUUAAGGAGAUCUUUUGGCACCUCUAAAAAUGGUGCAGAAUAAGGGGUGGGCAAGUCUGGUGUCAGCCGCCGCGGUAAUACCAGCACCCCGAGUGGUCGGGACGUUUAUUGGGCCUAAAGCAUCCGUAGCCGGUUCUACAAGUCUUCUGUUAAAUCCACCUGCUCAACAGAUGGGCUGCGGAAGAUACUAUGGAGCUAGGAGGCGGGAGAGGCAAGCGGUACUCGAUGGGUAGGGGUAAAAUCCGUUGAUC
RNAcentral lists this ribosomal RNA (542 nucleotides) under uncultured archaeon. RNAcentral describes it as "bacterial SSU rRNA". It matches the Rfam family "Archaeal small subunit ribosomal RNA", at positions 102 to 647 of the family's 1478-position model. The record is from RNAcentral.